UACGGGGGGAGCAAGCGUUGUUCGGAUUUACUGGGCGUAAAGGGCGCGUAGGCGGCCACGACAAGUCACUUGUGAAAUCUCCGGGCUUAACCCGGAACGGUCAAGUGAUACUGUCGGGCUAGAGUGCAGAAGGGGCAACUGGAAUUCUCGGUGUAGCGGUGAAAUGCGUAGAUAUCGUUUGGAACGCCAAUGGUGAAAACAGGUCGCUGGGGACAUGCUGACGCUGAGACACGAAAGCCAGGGGAGCAAACGGG
This 254-nucleotide ribosomal RNA is filed under the name uncultured prokaryote. RNAcentral's name for it is "partial 16S ribosomal RNA". It matches the Rfam family "Bacterial small subunit ribosomal RNA", at positions 524 to 776 of the family's 1533-position model. The record is from RNAcentral.